ACUCCUACGGGAGGCAGCAGUGGGGAAUUUUGCGCAAUGGGGGAAACCCUGACGCAGCAACGCCGCGUGGAGGAUGAAGUCCCUUGGGACGUAAACUCCUUUCGACCCGGACGAAUAAGGACGGUACCUGCGGAAUCAGUCACGGCUAACUACGUGCCAGCAGCCGCGGUAAAACGUAGGUGGCAAGCGUUAUCCGGAUUUACUGGGCGUAAAGGGUGUGCAGGCGGGGGAACAAGUGGUGUAUGAAAUAUCCCAGCUUAACUGGGAAGGGUUAUGCCAGACUGUUUCUCUAGAGGACGAGAGAGGGGGGUGGAAUUCCGGGUGUAGUGGUGAAAUGCGUAGAGAUCCGGAGGAACCCCAGAGGCGAAGGCGGCCCCCUGGCUCGUACCUGACGCUCAGCCACGAAAGCAUGGGGAGCGAACGGGAUUAGAUACCCUGGUAGUCCACGCUGUAAACGUUGGGUACUAGGUGCCUGGGGGAGCGACCCUCUGGGUGCCGAAGCUAACGCAUUAAGUGCUCCGCCUGGGGAGUACGGCCGCAAGGCUGAAACUUAAAGGAAUUGACG
RNAcentral lists this ribosomal RNA (565 nucleotides) under uncultured Chloroflexota bacterium. RNAcentral's name for it is "bacterial SSU rRNA". It matches the Rfam family "Bacterial small subunit ribosomal RNA", at positions 335 to 915 of the family's 1533-position model. The record is from RNAcentral. Lineage: Bacteria; Bacillati; Chloroflexota.